Haplochromis burtoni (Burton's mouthbrooder) is the source of this 309-nucleotide long non-coding RNA. RefSeq lists it as uncharacterized. The record is from RefSeq and is a predicted model, not a curated record. NCBI's taxonomy places the organism in Eukaryota, Metazoa, Chordata, Actinopteri, Cichliformes, Cichlidae. The transcript is spliced from 3 exons.
UGUUUUAGUCUUUGGGUGUUUCAUUAGUUCUUCUUCUGACAUUGGCAGCAACUAGUUCAUGUUUUAUUGUAAUUCUGCUUCAUUUCAUUCUACAGUUACAAGACUUCACUUGAGCUCCUUAGUGCACACAGCUCCACUGAACUUCAAUCUGAACAUGAUGACAGUUGGCAUGUUACUGAUUGUCCUCUUUCUUUCAGGUACUUUGGCUGAUUGUCCUGAUGAAGCAGCAGUCUUCAUAAAUGCAUCAAAGAAGCUGGAAGCACUGAGUGGAUCUUGUUUGCAAAUCCCAUGUAGCUUCAGACCCAAAGA